The sequence is a non-coding RNA, 578 nucleotides long. It matches the Rfam family "Bacterial large subunit ribosomal RNA", at positions 859 to 1443 of the family's 2925-position model.
GCGAAAUCUAUUUAGGUAGAGCGUCAUCCGAAUACCCUCGGGGGUAGAGCACUGGAUGGGCUAGGGGGCCCCAACGGCUUACCAAACCUAACCAAACUCCGAAUACCGAGGAGUACUAGAUGGCAGACACACUGCGGGUGCUAAGGUCCGUAGUGGAGAGGGAAACAGCCCUGACCGCCAGCUAAGGUCCCUAAGUUAUCACUAAGUGGGAAACGAUGUGGGAGUGCUUAGACAACCAGGAGGUUGGCUUAGAAGCAGCCAUCCUUUAAAGAAAGCGUAACAGCUCACUGGUCAAGCGCUCCUGCGCGGAAAAUGUAACGGGGCUUAAGUGAUACACCGAAGCUGCGGGCUCGAAAGAGCGGUAGCGGAGCGUUCUGUAAGUCUGCGAAGGGCAGGUGCGAGCCUGCUUGGAGAUAUCAGAAGUGAGAAUGCUGACAUGAGUAGCGAUAAAGAGGGUGAGAGACCCUCUCGCCGAAAGUCCAAGGGUUCCUGCGCAAUGCUAAUCAGCGCAGGGUAAGCCGGCCCCUAAGGCGAGGCCGAAAGGCGUAGUCGAUGGGAACCAGGUUAAUAUUCCUGGG